Molecule: ribosomal RNA, 497 nt
Filed under: uncultured bacterium
Lineage: Bacteria
Description: partial 16S ribosomal RNA
Rfam family: Bacterial small subunit ribosomal RNA
Source: RNAcentral
GAUGAACGCUGGCGGCGUGCCUAAUACAUGCAAGUAGAACGCUGAAGGAAGGAGCUUGCUCUUUCCGGAUGAGUUGCGAACGGGUGAGUAACGCGUAGGUAACCUGCCUGGUAGCGGGGGAUAACUAUUGGAAACGAUAGCUAAUACCGCAUAACAGUAGAUGUUGCAUGAUAUCUACUUAAAAGGUGCAAUUGCACCACUACCAGAUGGACCUGCGUUGUAUUAGCUAGUUGGUGAGGUAACGGCUCACCAAGGCGACGAUACAUAGCCGACCUGAGAGGGUGAUCGGCCACACUGGGACUGAGACACGGCCCAGACUCCUACGGGAGGCAGCAGUAGGGAAUCUUCGGCAAUGGACGGAAGUCUGACCGAGCAACGCCGCGUGAGUGAAGAAGGUUUUCGGAUCGUAAAGCUCUGUUGUAAGAGAAGAACGAGUGUGAGAGUGGAAAGUUCACACUGUGACGGUAUCUUAACAGAAAGGGACGGCUAACUACGUG